Molecule: transfer RNA, 109 nt
Organism: Dichomitus squalens LYAD-421 SS1
Lineage: Eukaryota; Fungi; Basidiomycota; Agaricomycetes; Polyporales; Polyporaceae
Rfam family: tRNA
About the family: Transfer RNA (tRNA) molecules are approximately 80 nucleotides in length. Their secondary structure includes four short double-helical elements and three loops (D, anti-codon, and T loops).
Source: Rfam
GGCAAGAUGGCCGAGCGGUCCAAGGCGUGUGACUCAAGCGAAAGCUUGCCUGCUUUGGCGGGUUUCUCAUCUGGGUAUCCAGGCGCGGGUUCAAAUCCCGCUCUUGUCA